Molecule: long non-coding RNA, 627 nt
Filed under: Anser brachyrhynchus (Pink-footed goose)
Lineage: Eukaryota; Metazoa; Chordata; Aves; Anseriformes; Anatidae
Description: lncRNA (ENSABRG00000010881.1)
Source: RNAcentral
ACACAGAGAAGAGCAGGAGUGGAGGUGUGCGCAUAAACAUUUGCCUCGGAGAAAGAAGUGUUUCCACCAGGAUGCUCUCAAGGAGGAUUAAAUAGUGGAAUGAACCUUCCAGCUUGGUGGAUGUGCUGGAGUGAAUCAGAAAGGGCGAGUUUCCUGAAGGCCUGGGAAAAGUUUCCUGAAGGCACAGUGGAAAGCUGUGCCACUGCAUGCGUGCCCCUCUCUGUCGGUCGGCACGAGGUCCCUGCAGGUGCCUGCUCUCUGUGCACCUGGGAACAGCAACUGCAAACCCGAGUGGGUGCCUGCCAUCACCCAACAUCCCUCCCAUGUGAAGUAAUGCCCUCCUCAUCCCGCAAAGAAAUGCAGGGAAAAUGGCUCUCUGCCACAUCUUGCCUGAAGACCAUACAUAUAUCACUGGAGAUCAGAGGAAGAGAUGACACACGCUGGCAUCAGGCAGGAUUUAUGGAAAGCUGCUCCUGUGACAGUCGUCUCCUACAUGACCUCUUGCAGUUCCUUCUAAGACUUCUUUCUUUUACUCCUUGUAAAUAUUCCUGGUGCAGAGGCAUUGAAAUAUUACAAAAAAAUAUUUGUAUACUCAUAAGGCAGAUGGAUGUGCUAAUUUCUCCAUGA